AUUGAACGCUGGCGGCAGGCCUAACACAUGCAAGUCGAGCGGCGCGGCGGCCGGGUGAGUAAUGCUUAGGAAUCUGCCUGGGCCUGGGGGAUAACGUCCGCAAACGGGCGCUAAUACCGCAUACUAUCCGCUUCGCCUGGGUCGGAUUAGCUAGUUGGUGGGGUAAAGGCCUACCAGGGCGACGAUCCGUAACUGGUCUGAGAGGAUGAUCAGUCACACUGGAACUUAGACACGGUCCAGACUCCUACGGGAGGCAGCAGUGGGGAAGAUUGGACAAUGGGCGAAAGCCUGAUUCAGCCAUGCCGCGUGUGUGAAGAAGGUCUUCGGAUUGUAAAGCACUUUAAGUUGGGAGGCGUUACCCGCAGAAGAAGCACCGGCUAACUCCGUGCCAGCAGCCGCGGUAAUUC
This 407-nucleotide ribosomal RNA is filed under the name uncultured bacterium. RNAcentral's name for it is "partial 16S ribosomal RNA". It matches the Rfam family "Bacterial small subunit ribosomal RNA", at positions 30 to 526 of the family's 1533-position model. The record is from RNAcentral.